AAAGCACCCUUUUUGUUGUAGAUUCUACAUAGCACCCAAUCGUCCAGCUGCAAAAUCCCAUGUAAAGAGUGUCAUUUAGAUGUUCCAUCUAGUAAUUCAUCGGAUGGCAACCGUUCAUUUAUGGGGGUCCACUGAUUGAACGGUUCUGAUCCGUCGAGGUCCUAAUCACUAAAAAGGAGAGUGAUAGGUUCAGAUCCCCUGAA
Long non-coding RNA from Magnolia sinica, 203 nucleotides. RefSeq lists it as uncharacterized. The record is from RefSeq and is a predicted model, not a curated record. The transcript has 2 exons. NCBI's taxonomy places the organism in Eukaryota, Viridiplantae, Streptophyta, Magnoliopsida, Magnoliales, Magnoliaceae.